RNAcentral lists this ribosomal RNA (442 nucleotides) under uncultured bacterium. RNAcentral describes it as "bacterial SSU rRNA". It matches the Rfam family "Bacterial small subunit ribosomal RNA", at positions 354 to 796 of the family's 1533-position model. The record is from RNAcentral.
GUGGGGAAUCUUGCGCAAUGGUCUAACGACUGACGCAGCGACGCCGCGUGUGGGAGGACGCCUUUCGGGGUGUAAACCACUGUUGCCCGGGACGAACAGCCCUUUUCGAGGGGUCUGACGGUACCGGGUGAGGAAGCACCGGCUAACUCCGUGCCAGCAGCCGCGGUAAUACGGAGGGUGCGAGCGUUGUCCGGAAUCAUUGGGCGUAAAGGGCGCGUAGGUGGCGCGGUCAGUUCGUGGUGAAAGCGCGGGGCUCAACCCCGCGUCGGCCAUGAAUACUGCUGGGCUGGAGCACUGUAGAGGCAGGCGGAAUUCCGGGUGUAGCGGUGGAAUGCGUAGAGAUCCGGAAGAACACCGGUGGCGAAGGCGGCCUGCUGGGCAGUUGCUGACACUGAGGCGCGACAGCGUGGGGAGCAAACAGGAUUAGAAACCCCGGUAGUCC